This 195-nucleotide ribosomal RNA is filed under the name uncultured bacterium. RNAcentral's name for it is "partial 16S ribosomal RNA". It matches the Rfam family "Bacterial small subunit ribosomal RNA", at positions 326 to 539 of the family's 1533-position model. The record is from RNAcentral.
ACGCUCGACACCUACGGGGCAGCAGUGGGGAAUAUUGCACAAUGGGGGAAACCCUGAUGCAGCGACGCCGCGUGAGCGAAGAAGUAUUUCGGUAUGUAAAGCUCUAUCAGCAGGGAAGAAACUGACGGUACCUGACUAAGAAGCACCGGCUAAAUACGUGCCACAGCCGCGGUAAUCUGAGCGGGCUGGCAAGGC